Molecule: ribosomal RNA, 830 nt
Filed under: Streptococcus sp. sp3-iso-39x13
Lineage: Bacteria; Bacillati; Bacillota; Bacilli; Lactobacillales; Streptococcaceae
Also listed under: 1 other name
Description: bacterial SSU rRNA
Rfam family: Bacterial small subunit ribosomal RNA
Source: RNAcentral
UGCAAGUAGAACGCUGAAGAGAGGAGCUUGCUCUUCUUGGAUGAGUUGCGAACGGGUGAGUAACGCGUAGGUAACCUGCCUUGUAGCGGGGGAUAACUAUUGGAAACGAUAGCUAAUACCGCAUAACAAUGGAUGACACAUGUCAUUUAUUUGAAAGGGGCAAUUGCUCCACUACAAGAUGGACCUGCGUUGUAUUAGCUAGUAGGUGAGGUAACGGCUCACCUAGGCGACGAUACAUAGCCGACCUGAGAGGGUGAUCGGCCACACUGGGACUGAGACACGGCCCAGACUCCUACGGGAGGCAGCAGUAGGGAAUCUUCGGCAAUGGGGGCAACCCUGACCGAGCAACGCCGCGUGAGUGAAGAAGGUUUUCGGAUCGUAAAGCUCUGUUGUAAGUCAAGAACGAGUGUGAGAGUGGAAAGUUCACACUGUGACGGUAGCUUACCAGAAAGGGACGGCUAACUACGUGCCAGCAGCCGCGGUAAUACGUAGGUCCCGAGCGUUGUCCGGAUUUAUUGGGCGUAAAGCGAGCGCAGGCGGUUUGAUAAGUCUGAAGUUAAAGGCUGUGGCUCAACCAUAGUUCGCUUUGGAAACUGUCAAACUUGAGUGCAGAAGGGGAGAGUGGAAUUCCAUGUGUAGCGGUGAAAUGCGUAGAUAUAUGGAGGAACACCGGUGGCGAAAGCGGCUCUCUGGUCUGUAACUGACGCUGAGGCUCGAAAGCGUGGGGAGCGAACAGGAUUAGAUACCCUGGUAGUCCACGCCGUAAACGAUGAGUGCUAGGUGUUGGAUCCUUUCCGGGAUUCAGUGCCGCAGCUAACGCAUUAAGCACU